GUUAAAGGAAAUUUGUUCUAGAAUUAUGCAUGUUACCACUUAAAACGGAAUGUUUGCAGAAGGAAGAAAAGCGAGACGCACCUCCCCGUUUGUGCACACUGACUCUGAACAAAAAAGACAGCAACUGCUGCGAGCUACCUAAAUAGUCCGCACACACCUUGGGAUCACGUUCUGGCUUACUCCUGGUCAGACUGGUGUGAGAGCUAAAUACUGCUGUGCUUGGCGGACUCAGAGACAAGCCUGCCUUGCUUUUUAUAAAAAUAAGACCGGUAAUGAAAAACAACCAGUCUGAACGAUAAAAAAAUCCCAGCUUAUCACACGAAACGAAGUUUUAUAAAUACCCUUGCAAGGCAAGAAAACAAGUAGCAGUCAUAACACCACUUACUUGCGGAGAAUUCCCACUGCAGAAGUUACCGAGCUCCUAGUGACGGCGGGAGGGGAGAGGAGAGCCACGCACACCGAACACAGACUGACCGCUCGUGCCUUCCGAGUCAGGCAGCCGAACGGCUGAUUACACCAGGUCCCCUCCUGCCCCGCAAGGGUUGUGCUUUCCUGACAACGACACGGCUACCGGCAUAGGGGAAAAAAAAAAAAAACACCCUUAAAAACGAAAACAAGCUCUAUCAGUAAAAGUCCACUUGUGCAGAUAACUGCAUCUACAGCUGGGGCUUCUGCUGGCACAGCUAUGUCAGUCACGGGUCACACUUCGUCACCGCGCUCGCAGACAGAGCUGUGCCAGCAGAAGUUUGCCAUAUAGACCUGGUGUGAAGCUCAACAGCGAUCAAAGUGAAUCUGCAAAGUUUCGCGUUUUUCAGGCUGCUGCCAAAAGAACUUUUUCCAACAAACAGUCAGACGAUUGGCAUUCUUGCUCCUGUGUCGUGGGCAUGCCAGCAUCUUGGCUUCCAAGGGGAGAAGAAACCUAAACUUAGCCCGGGAACGUGGCAAUACCUAUCAUCCACUUACAUCGUACUUUAAAUUCACAAACUAAAUUAGAAAACAAGAGCUCCUGCAGGAAGAAAAGGCAAAAGCGAAUAAAUUUUCUGCUGUACUUUAGCA
Molecule: long non-coding RNA, 1056 nt
Organism: Oxyura jamaicensis (ruddy duck)
Lineage: Eukaryota; Metazoa; Chordata; Aves; Anseriformes; Anatidae
Exons: 2
Source: RefSeq, a predicted model, not a curated record